CUUGAAUUAUGCUUGAAAUAAUUUGAUGAUCCUAGUACUACUCAUUGAGUAGUAUUAUAA
RNAcentral lists this small RNA (60 nucleotides) under Rickettsia prowazekii. Its description in RNAcentral is "partial sR70 non-coding RNA". Lineage: Bacteria; Pseudomonadati; Pseudomonadota; Alphaproteobacteria; Rickettsiales; Rickettsiaceae. The record is from RNAcentral.